CUACUUCACAUUAAGACCGGCAUCGCUAUAUAGGCGGUGCCGGUUUUUUGUCGGCUAUGGCGAUAAAUUGCGCCGUGCAAUAGGUACAACGGACCCGGGGGCAGUACCCGGCGGCUCCACCAUAAUCCGCGGAAUGCCGCGGUUUCUGACGGGGCCGAACCAGGAUCGACGUGUGCUGAAAGACGGUGUUUUCGUCCGGGCUGAGUACCCCGUAAAACUGUUCGCAACACACAAGUGCCAACGAUAACGAAGCACUCGCUCUCGCUGCGUAAUGUGACGGGCUAACGCCCUGAAGUUACAAAGCUAAAGCGCGGUUGGACCCACCGGGCAACAGAAGCGGAUUCCG
Molecule: transfer-messenger RNA, 346 nt
Filed under: Citromicrobium sp.
Lineage: Bacteria; Pseudomonadati; Pseudomonadota; Alphaproteobacteria; Sphingomonadales; Sphingomonadaceae
Rfam family: Alphaproteobacteria transfer-messenger RNA
About the family: Bacterial tmRNA, also known as 10Sa RNA or SsrA, is named for its dual tRNA and mRNA-like properties. Its role is to liberate the mRNA from a stalled ribosome. To accomplish this part of the tmRNA is used as a reading frame that ends in a translation stop signal.
Source: RNAcentral